CUACAGGCUUAACACAUGCAAGUCGAGGGGCAGCAUGGUCUUAGCUUGCUAAGGCCGAUGGCGACCGGCGCACGGGUGAGUAACACGUAUCCAACCUGCCGUCUACUCUUGGACAGCCUUCUGAAAGGAAGAUUAAUACAAGAUGGCAUCAUGAGUCCGCAUGUUCACAUGAUUAAAGGUAUUCCGGUAGACGAUGGGGAUGCGUUCCAUUAGAUAGUAGGCGGGGUAACGGCCCACCUAGUCUUCGAUGGAUAGGGGUUCUGAGAGGAAGGUCCCCCACAUUGGAACUGAGACACGGUCCAAACUCCUACGGGAGGCAGCAGUGAGGAAUAUUGGUCAAUGGGCGAGAGCCUGAACCAGCCAAGUAGCGUGAAGGAUGACUGCCCUAUGGGUUGUAAACUUCUUUUAUAAAGGAAUAAAGUCGGGUAUGGAUACCCGUUUGCAUGUACUUUAUGAAUAAGGAUCGGCUAACUCCGUGCCAGCAGCCGCGGUAAUACGGAGGAUCCGAGCGUUAUCCGGAUUUAUUGGGUUUAAAGGGAGCGUAGAUGGAUGUUUAAGUCAGUUGUGAAAGUUUGCGGCUCAACCGUAAAAUUGCAGUUGAUACUGGAUAUCUUGAGUGCAGUUGAGGCAGGCGGAAUUCGUGGUGUAGCGGUGAAAUGCUUAGAUAUCACGAAGAACUCCGAUUGCGAAGGCAGCCUGCUAAGCUGCAACUGACAUUGAGGCUCGAAAGUGUGGGUAUCAAACAGGAUUAGAUACCCUGGUAGUCCACACGGUAAACGAUGAAUACUCGCUGUUUGCGAUAUACUGCAAGCGGCCAAGCGAAAGCGUUAAGUAUUCCACCUGGGGAGUACGCCGGCAACGGUGAAACUCAAAGGAAUUGACGGGGGCCCGCACAAGCGGAGGAACAUGUGGUUUAAUUCGAUGAUACGCGAGGAACCUUACCCGGGCUUAAAUUGCAGAUGAAUUACGGUGAAAGCCGUAAGCCGCAAGGCAUCUGUGAAGGUGCUGCAUGGUUGUCGUCAGCUCGUGCCGUGAGGUGUCGGCUUAAGUGCCAUAACGAGCGCAACCCUUGUUGUCAGUUACUAACAGGUUCCGCUGAGGACUCUGACAAGACUGCCAUCGUAAGAUGUGAGGAAGGUGGGGAUGACGUCAAAUCAGCACGGCCCUUACGUCCGGGGCUACACACGUGUUACAAUGGGGGGUACAGAGGGCCGCUACCACGCGAGUGGAUGCCAAUCCCCAAAACCUCUCUCAGUUCGGACUGGAGUCUGCAACCCGACUCCACGAAGCUGGAUUCGCUAGUAAUCGCGCAUCAGCCACGGCGCGGUGAAUACGUUCCCGGGCCUUGUACACACCGCCCGUCAAGCCAUGGGAGCCGGGGGUACCUGAAGUGCGUAACCGCGAGGAGCGCCCUAGGGUAAAACUGGUGACUGGGGCU
Molecule: ribosomal RNA, 1438 nt
Filed under: uncultured organism
Description: SSU rRNA
Rfam family: Bacterial small subunit ribosomal RNA
Source: RNAcentral